RNAcentral lists this ribosomal RNA (248 nucleotides) under uncultured bacterium. Its description in RNAcentral is "partial 16S ribosomal RNA". It matches the Rfam family "Bacterial small subunit ribosomal RNA", at positions 355 to 593 of the family's 1533-position model. The record is from RNAcentral.
UAGGGAAUCUUCCACAAUGGACGCAAGUCUGAUGGAGCAACGCCGCGUGAGUGAAGAAGGCUUUCGGGUCGUAAAAACUCUGUUAUUGAAGAAGAACGUGUGUGACAGUAACUGGUCAUGCAGUGACGGUAUUCAAUCAGAAAGUCACGGCUAACUACGUGCCAGCAGCCGCGGUAAUACGUGGGUGGCAAGCGUUGUCCGGAUUUAUUGGGCGUAAAGCGAGUGCAGGCGGUCUUUUUAAGUCUGAU